UGGUCGAGUCGGCCUGCGCGGAAGAUUUAACGGGGCUAAGCGGUAUACCGAAGCUAGGGAUGCACAGCAAUGUGCGUGGUAGAGGAGCGUUCUGUACGCCUGCGAAGGUGGCUUGUAAAGGCUGCUGGAGGUAUCAGAAGUGCGAAUGCUGACAUGAGUAACGAUAAUGCGGGUGAAAAGCCCGCACGCCGAAAGCCCCAGGUUUCCUUGCGCAACGUUCAUCGGCGCAGGGUGAGUCGGCCCCUAAGGCGAGGCAGAAAUGCGUAGUCGAUGGAAAGCUGGUUAAUAUUCCAGCACCGCUCGUGAUUGCGAUGGGAUGACGGAGAAGGCUAGGUGUACCGGGCGUUGGUUGUCCCGGGGAAAGGCGGUAGGUGUGGGUCUUAGGCAAAUCCGGGACCCUCUACACCGAGCACCGAGACGAGUUCAUUAGAACGAAGUCACCGAGGCCACGCUUCCAGGAAAAGUCUCUAAGCUUCAGAUCACGAGGACCGUACCGUAAACCGACACAGGUAGGCAGGGUGAGAAUCCCAAGGCGCUUGAGAGAACUCGGGUGAAGGAACUAGGCAACAUAGCACCGUAACUUCGGGAGAAGGUGCGCCCAGUAUCGUGGUGAUAUGCAUCACUGAGCGAUAUUGGGCCGCAGUGACCAGGCCGCUGCGACUGUUUAUCAAAAACACAGCACUCUGCAAACACGUAAGUGGACGUAUAGGGUGUGACGCCUGCCCGGUGCCGGAAGGUUAAUUGAUGGGGUCAGCCGCAAGGCGAAGCUCUUGAUCGAAGCCCCGGUAAACGGCGGCCGUAACUAUAACGGUCCUAAGGUAGCGAAAUUCCUUGUCGGGUAAGUUCCGACCUGCACGAAUGGCGUAACGACAGCGGCGCUGUCUCCACCCGAGACUCAGUGAAAUUGAAAUCGCUGUGAAGAUGCAGCGUUCCCGCGGCAAGACGGAAAGACCCCGUGAACCUUUACUACAGCUUUACACUGAACGUUGAGUUCGUCUGUGUAGCAUAGGUGGGAGCCUUUGAAGUCCAGGCGCUAGCUUGGAUGGAGGCGACGUUGAAAUACCACCCUGAUGUGCUUGACGUUCUAACCUAGGCCCGUAAUCCGGGUCAGGGACCGUGUAUGGUGGGUAGUUUGACUGGGGCGGUCUCCUCCUAAAGAGUAACG
Molecule: ribosomal RNA, 1165 nt
Filed under: activated sludge metagenome
Description: bacterial LSU rRNA
Rfam family: Bacterial large subunit ribosomal RNA
Source: RNAcentral